GACUUCGGCCGUGCGGCUCCCAGAAC
This 26-nucleotide non-coding RNA is filed under the name Cricetulus griseus (Chinese hamster). Lineage: Eukaryota; Metazoa; Chordata; Mammalia; Rodentia; Cricetidae. The record is from RNAcentral.